RNAcentral lists this ribosomal RNA (497 nucleotides) under uncultured bacterium. RNAcentral describes it as "partial 16S ribosomal RNA". It matches the Rfam family "Bacterial small subunit ribosomal RNA", at positions 28 to 507 of the family's 1533-position model. The record is from RNAcentral.
GAUGAACGCUGGCGGCGUGCCUAAUACAUGCAAGUCGAGCGAACAGACGAGGAGCUUGCUCCUCUGACGUUAGCGGCGGACGGGUGAGUAACACGUGGAUAACCUACCUAUAAGACUGGGAUAACUUCGGGAAACCGGAGCUAAUACCGGAUAAUAUAUUUAACCGCAUGGUUCAAUAGUGAAAGACGGUUUUGCUGUCACUUAUAGAUGUAUCCGCUCCGCAUUAGCUAGUUGGUAAGGUAACGGCUUACCAAGGCAACGAUGCGUAGCCGACCUGAGAGGGUGAUCGGCCACACUGGAACUGAGACACGGUCCAGACUCCUAAGGGAGGCAGCAGUAGGGAAUCUUCCGCAAUGAGCGAAAGCCUGACGGAGCAACGCCGCGUGAGUGAUGAAGGUCUUCGGAUCGUAAAACUCUGUUAUUAGGGAAGAACAAAUGUGUAAGUAACUAUGCAAGUCUUGACGGUACCUAAUCAGAAAGCCACGGCUAACUACGUG